UACGAAGGGGGGCAAGCGUUGUUCGGAAUUACUGGGCGUAAAGGGCGCGCAGGCGGCCUUAGUAGUCAGGCGUGAAAGCCCCGGGCUUAACCUGGGAAUUGCGCUUGAUACUCUGAGGCUUGAGUUCGGGAGAGGUGAGUGGAAUUCCCAGUGUAGAGGUGAAAUUCGUAGAUAUUGGGAAGAACACCAGUGGCGAAGGCGGCUUACUGGUCCGGUUCUGACGCUGAGGCGCGAAAGCGUGGGGAGCAAACAGG
Molecule: ribosomal RNA, 254 nt
Filed under: uncultured bacterium
Lineage: Bacteria
Description: partial 16S ribosomal RNA
Rfam family: Bacterial small subunit ribosomal RNA
Source: RNAcentral